AACGAACGCUGGCGGCAUGCCUAACACAUGCAAGUCGAACGAAGGCUUCGGCCUUAGUGGCGCACGGGUGCGUAACGCGUGGGAAUCUGCCCUUUGGUUCGGAAUAACAGCUGGAAACGGCUGCUAAUACCGGAUGAUGACGAAAGUCCAAAGAUUUAUCGCCAGAGGAUGAGCCCGCGUUGGAUUAGGUAGUUGGUGGGGUAAAGGCCUACCAAGCCGACGAUCCAUAGCUGGUCUGAGAGGAUGAUCAGCCACACUGGGACUGAGACACGGCCCAGACUCCUACGGGAGGCAGCAGUGGGGAAUAUUGGACAAUGGGCGCAAGCCUGAGCCAGCAAUGCCGCGUGAGUGAUGAAGGCCCUAGGGUUGUAAAGCUCUUUUACCCGGGAAGAUAAUGACUGUACCGGGAGAAUAAGCCCCGGCUAACUCCGUG
Molecule: ribosomal RNA, 433 nt
Filed under: uncultured bacterium
Lineage: Bacteria
Description: partial 16S ribosomal RNA
Rfam family: Bacterial small subunit ribosomal RNA
Source: RNAcentral